This 61-nucleotide transfer RNA is filed under the name Camelus bactrianus (Bactrian camel). It matches the Rfam family "tRNA", at positions 6 to 65 of the family's 71-position model. Rfam says of the family: Transfer RNA (tRNA) molecules are approximately 80 nucleotides in length. Their secondary structure includes four short double-helical elements and three loops (D, anti-codon, and T loops). Further hydrogen bonds mediate the characteristic L-shaped molecular structure. tRNAs have two regions of fundamental functional importance: the anti-codon, which is responsible for specific mRNA codon recognition, and the 3' end, to which the tRNAs corresponding amino acid is attached (by aminoacyl-tRNA synthetases). tRNAs cope with the degeneracy of the genetic code in two manners: having more than one tRNA (with a specific anti-codon) for a particular amino acid; and 'wobble' base-pairing, i.e. permitting non-standard base-pairing at the 3rd anti-codon position. The record is from Rfam by way of RNAcentral. RNAcentral also lists the same sequence under 2 other names. Lineage: Eukaryota; Metazoa; Chordata; Mammalia; Artiodactyla; Camelidae.
UAUAGCUCAGUGGUAGAGCGCAUGCCUAGCAUGCCUGAGGUCUUGGGUUCAAUCCCCAAUA